CCAUGGGUGGUUCAGUGGUAGAAUGCUCGCCUGCCACGCGGGCGGGCGGGUUCGAUUCCCGGCCGAUGCA
Non-coding RNA from Cordylochernes scorpioides, 70 nucleotides. Lineage: Eukaryota; Metazoa; Arthropoda; Arachnida; Pseudoscorpiones; Chernetidae. The record is from the annotation of a GenBank genome assembly.